This 5091-nucleotide long non-coding RNA is filed under the name Cucumis sativus (cucumber). Its description in RNAcentral is "long non-coding RNA (CSAT_LNC002102)". Lineage: Eukaryota; Viridiplantae; Streptophyta; Magnoliopsida; Cucurbitales; Cucurbitaceae. The record is from RNAcentral.
GGAUGUGUAAUUUUAUUUUUGUUGGAUGGUUUGAAAUAUUUAGGUUCAUGUUGUCAUUCUUCUAGUUUUAUUUUUGAAUAAUUAUAAUUUGUGACAAUUUUUAGAAUAAUGACUAAGUGUAGUAAUUAGAGGUUUAAGAAUAACUUGGGUAAUCCAACAACUUGGAUUAUCCAAUCCAUAUUAUAUGGGUUGGGUUGGGUUAGGUUAAAAUAUGGAUUGGAUUGGGUUGGGUUGAAAAAAAUGAAUUUUUUUUAGUUGGGUUUAGUCUCGGGUUGUAAGGUUGAAAAAUUCGAUCAUAUAUAUAUAUAUAUAUAAAUAAAUAUUCCUCUCUUCUCACUCUCAAUCCUCCUUUGCGCGUCGCAUCCCUUUUAUUCUCACAUCUCCUACGUCUUCGACAUCUCCUUCGUCUCUUACUUUCCUUCAUCUCUGACUCUCCUUGUCCUACUUAUCCCGCGCAUUCCUUAUAUUAUCACAUCUCCUCCGUCUUCGACAUCUUCAUUUCUAACUCUCCUCUAUCUUUGAUCUUCACAGUUCAUCUCGUUAGAUCUCAGAUCUCAUAUACUCGCAGUUCGACGUCAUGUUCUUCUUUGUCAAUCUCUUCAGCUUCUGAAUAACCCGACAAUCCAAUUUAUAUUUUAUGGGUUGGUUUAGAAACUUGAUUUAACCCAAAUAACCUAAAAGUAUGGGUUUGGUUGAGAUGUUUCUCAACCCAACCUUACUACACCCUUAACAGCAACUUUUUUAAAAAUUGCAGAUAUAGCAAAAUUCUUUAGUGAUAAACUUCUAUCGCUCAUAGAUUAUUAUGGUCUAUCAUGAUUGAUUUUGACAGAUUUUGCUUUAUUUGUAAAUUUUUUAAAAUGUUGCUAUAUAUUUAAUUAUUUUAAAUUUAAUUACUAUAUUUGCAACUAUUCUUUUAUUUUGUGUGGUUCUUCUAUUAUUUGGUACACUUUAUAUAUUAUUAUUUUCUUUGGUUUUAUUAUAUUAUGAGAUAUAUUCUGUUAAUUUUGUGCAAAAUACUCUACACAUAUUUUACUUGCUAUAUGUUUCUUUUCUUUGAUUCUUCCAUUUAUCUUUUAAUUCUCUUUUGAAUAUUUAUUUUCUUGAAAAUCUUGGAUUGUAUUUUGUGGAUUUUUUUCUUAACGUGCACUUCAUCUUUUGAGGUCAAAUGUUUAAUCUAUCAUUUGAUUUAUGUAUCAUGGUCUUAUUUAAGAACGGAAGAGUUCACUACAUUCGAAAAAUCAAGACUCUGUUUACGAACUCUUUCCAAAACACUUCUUGGACGUUUCUUUUUGUUUUUGUUUUUGUUUUUUUCUUUGAAAAAUAAGAUAUUUUACAAAACUUUUGAAAAACUGCAUGAGCAAGGAUGUUGGCCACACACAGGGCAAUGAGCAGCAAGGCAACAUGCACCAUGGUGCGCGGAAGAUGUUGUCUUGGUGCCAUCUUUGCACAUGCGGAAGCGAACUUUCAAAUGGCAUUUACAAAACAUUGGGGAAAACACUUUUUUUCUUCCUAUUUUCUUCUAGAAAGUCUUUCCAGAACAUAUGUAUAUAUAUGUGUGUGUAUAUACAUAUAUAUUUGCAAAAUCUCUCGUUUAAAAGGUCUAUACAAGAACAUGUUCUAAAAGUUUUCUCGCUUCAAAUUCUGUUUACGAACUCUUUCCAAAACACUUCUUGGACGUUUCUUUUUGUUUUUUUUUUGUUUUUUCUUUGAAAAAUAAGAUAUUUUACAAAACUUUUGAAAAACUGCAUGAGCAAGGAUGUUGGCCACACACACGGCAAUGAGCAGCAAGGCAACAUGGCCACACACUCGUUAGUUGUGAGCUCAACUGGGAUUGAGAGUACAAUUGUCCCGCAUAUCAUUCAUUCCAUUAGCUAAUCGCUUCUGUUGCGAUCCUUGGUGGUUCAACCCAUUUGUUCUUUCAUAUCAAUCGUAGUACAACCCAAUCGCUCUUAAGUUGACUUCUCAUACUUAUAGAUUAUGAUUCUCAAUUAUUUGGCUAAGAUAACUUCCAUCGUUGAGCCUCCCUCUACUGAUUCCAAUCACAUUUCUUAACUUUGUUUUCUCUCAUUAUUUGUUGUCAUUUGCUCAACAAGUAUUUAUAUAAAUCAUCCCAAAUCAACUCCCACUUUUCAGAUUUCCAUGGAUAUAAAAAGAAAUGGUGGCUCAUCAUUCGUACCAUUUCUUUUGUUGAUGGGCAUGAAUUACGGGUCAUUAUGAACUCACCAACAAGCAACCAACCAUUUUGACUCCUUGUUAGUACUUAAAAGUUAACAACUUUAAUCAUCUUCUACUAGAUAAAAUAAGUUGUGUUUUCAAAGUUCAUGUGUAAAGCAAAAGAGAUUGUCUUAUAGUGACUUUAACAUAGAUUACACUCCCAUUGUGAAAUAAUAUAUAACUAUAUUUAUAUCAACUAUAUAUUACAUAUAUAACAAAACCCUAAAAUAAAGUUAAGUUGUCCAAAAUAACAAACUAGCGUCCUCCUUGAAAAAUUAUAAAAAUUUCAAGUUAGAUUGUCUUGGAUUUUAGGAUGUAUUAAGGCUAUCUCCAUGUAUUAGAGAAUAUAAGAAAUUCUAUUUAACAAUUUAAAAAAUUAUAAGAUUUUUUUGUAGCCUUAUCCUUGCAAUUGAAGUAGGAGAUUAAAUCCGAAACUCUUGUCGAAAUUGGGCAAGCAUGCUAGCCUGAAAAGAUUGGUUCCGUCGGAAAACAAGAGGGGUUGGUCAAUAUCGGUUUCAGAAAGUUUCAAAUUGAAAACUUUAAAAAAUUAUUUAUAAGUCGAUCAACCCAAUUAAUAUCAACUGACACUUACUCAUCAAUGUCGAUUUUGUAAAAAAUACCAUCUCCGACCGACCGAUUAACACCGAAGUCGGGAACUUACGCAUACUAGAUAAGUGUAGAGUAUAUAUAUCUUUUUCAAAUUUGAUUAAAUUACCAAAUAUUAUAUCCAAUUCUCUCUCUACCCUUUUUUUAUCUGCGUUCCCGCCCGCUCGGUGAACUCAUUUGCGCAGCUCUUUCCUCUUUCUCUUCUUUGUCUUCCUCUCGGCUUCACAAUCUUCAUCGUCAAUCUUUGAUCCAGCCUAAGAAGGCGCUGUACAUUAUAGGGUUUUAAGUAGAAGGUGAGUUUUCAGAUUGCUUUUAUAUCUUCUGUCAAGCUAUGAUGCUUUUGUACUUAUCGACCACUUUCUCAUGCAAGAAUAUUUGAGUUUGAGAAUUAUUUGCUGAAAUUUUUAUGGGUUUAUGGAGUAUUUUCUACUUUGUUUUGGCGGAGUUGAGUUUGCUUCUUAGGUGUAGAGAAGUUUGUUCAGUGUUGUUUUUGUUUUUGAGGCUACAACUCAAUGAAAAAACUCAUUGUGUUCAUGGAAUUAGGGUUUAUCUUGUUUAAUGGGGAACAGGCAUGUUUGGUAUUGAUUUGUGCAUUGUACUGGUAGUCGAGAUCGCAUUGCCAUCUUACAGUUGCUUAUUCUUUUUUUUCUUAUUUUCUUGAUAGUUAUUAGACAAUUGAAACCUCAUAAUUCAACCAAAAUUAAUUCACUUUUACAAAUAUUAGUUUUAGUAGUUUUUUAUUUUACUCAUUUGGUCAUAUAUUUCUUUUCUUUUGGAAUGGAUGUGUAAUUUUAUUUUUGUUGGAUGGUUUGAAAUAUUUAGGUUCAUGUUGUCAUUCUUCUAGUUUUAUUUUUGAAUAAUUAUAAUUUGUGACAAUUUUUAGAAUAAUGACUAAGUGUAGUAAUUAGAGGUUUAAGAAUAACUUGGGUAAUCCAACAACUUGGAUUAUCCAAUCCAUAUUAUAUGGGUUGGGUUGGGUUAGGUUAAAAUAUGGAUUGGAUUGGGUUGGGUUGAAAAAAAUGAAUUUUUUUUAGUUGGGUUUAGUCUCGGGUUGUAAGGUUGAAAAAUUCGAUCAUAUAUAUAUAUAUAUAUAUAAAUAAAUAUUCCUCUCUUCUCACUCUCAAUCCUCCUUUGCGCGUCGCAUCCCUUUUAUUCUCACAUCUCCUACGUCUUCGACAUCUCCUUCGUCUCUUACUUUCCUUCAUCUCUGACUCUCCUUGUCCUACUUAUCCCGCGCAUUCCUUAUAUUAUCACAUCUCCUCCGUCUUCGACAUCUUCAUUUCUAACUCUCCUCUAUCUUUGAUCUUCACAGUUCAUCUCGUUAGAUCUCAGAUCUCAUAUACUCGCAGUUCGACGUCAUGUUCUUCUUUGUCAAUCUCUUCAGCUUCUGAAUAACCCGACAAUCCAAUUUAUAUUUUAUGGGUUGGUUUAGAAACUUGAUUUAACCCAAAUAACCUAAAAGUAUGGGUUUGGUUGAGAUGUUUCUCAACCCAACCUUACUACACCCUUAACAGCAACUUUUUUAAAAAUUGCAGAUAUAGCAAAAUUCUUUAGUGAUAAACUUCUAUCGCUCAUAGAUUAUUAUGGUCUAUCAUGAUUGAUUUUGACAGAUUUUGCUUUAUUUGUAAAUUUUUUAAAAUGUUGCUAUAUAUUUAAUUAUUUUAAAUUUAAUUACUAUAUUUGCAACUAUUCUUUUAUUUUGUGUGGUUCUUCUAUUAUUUGGUACACUUUAUAUAUUAUUAUUUUCUUUGGUUUUAUUAUAUUAUGAGAUAUAUUCUGUUAAUUUUGUGCAAAAUACUCUACACAUAUUUUACUUGCUAUAUGUUUCUUUUCUUUGAUUCUUCCAUUUAUCUUUUAAUUCUCUUUUGAAUAUUUAUUUUCUUGAAAAUCUUGGAUUGUAUUUUGUGGAUUUUUUUUCUUAACGUGCACUUCAUCUUUUGAGGUCAAAUGUUUAAUCUAUCAUUUGAUUUAUGUAUCAUGGUCUUAUUUAAGAACGGAAGAGUUCACUACAUUCGAAAAAUCAAGACUCUGUUUACGAACUCUUUCCAAAACACUUCUUGGACGUUUCUUUUUGUUUUUGUUUUUGUUUUUUUCUUUGAAAAAUAAGAUAUUUUACAAAACUUUUGAAAAACUGCAUGAGCAAGGAUGUUGGCCACACACAGGGCAAUGAGCAGCAAGGCAACAUGCACCAUGGUGCGCGGAAGAUGUUGUCUUGGUGCCAUCUUUGCACAUGCGGAAGCGAACUUUCAAAUGGCAUUUACAAAACAUUGG